This is a long non-coding RNA of Branchiostoma floridae (Florida lancelet), 2408 nucleotides long. RefSeq lists it as uncharacterized. Lineage: Eukaryota; Metazoa; Chordata; Leptocardii; Amphioxiformes; Branchiostomatidae. The transcript is spliced from 3 exons. The record is from RefSeq and is a predicted model, not a curated record.
GUGACUGUGUUCGACUAACGCCGGCGGCAUAUGUCCAUAAAAGGACCCAGUCGGACAGUUUGGGGGGAACGAAAAGUACGUUACAAAUGAUAACAAGAACAAAAAACGAGCAAACUCCAAUUCCCUUGUAAAAAAAAAACUUAAGGUAUGUAUGGGUAUGAUCAACGUUAAUAGGUACGUUUUCAUUAUGGUGGCCAUCAUGCUGAUGCAACAUUCGUAAUUUCUCUUCUUUUGGGCUGUUUAAUUUUUUUUAAAUUUGUGGGUUCGACAUCUCUCACGCACCCCGGCCAUCAAGCACUAAUCUGAAGGGGCUAUUGUUUCUUGUCCGUAAUCUGGGACGCUGUCCGUAAUCUGGGACGCAGUGUAACCAUAUCCACAUUCCAGAUGUUUCACGUCGAGUUUGCAUGGGGUUGUGCGAUAUACAGAUCAGAUUGUGUUAGAACUAUGGUGUUUUUCUAUGUUUCGAGAAUAUGUUCACGCUUUCAAGUUUGGUGCAAUUCCUUUUUUUUGUACAUGUCAACUCAGCAGACACGAGGUUGGGGCUGCAGGUGGGUUAAAACCAGGUGCAGGAUGAUGGGACGACGAGGAGCGGAGAUCAGAUUAAGCUACCGGUGGUCGACAAGGCAAGUCCGAGGAAGCGGUCGCCGACGUAGCCAGGAAGCCAUAGUUCCAACGGCCUCUACACAGUUCCCCAACUCCAGAGCUGACGCCACCCCAAGGAAAGCAUGAAGAUGAAAGGCCAAGCCAAGCUGACUCCCAGCCAAGCAGUCAUUUCGCUGCCAGACAGAGAGGAGAAAAGCCACGCCACGGGUCUUGAGCUGGUCUCUGAUGAUCAAUAACAUACACCUGCUGCCACGAAGUCAACACACUCCCUUUCACUUCGGUCGGGCAAGAGAGAUAAACACGGGCAAGACCGACUCCUCCCGCCGCAACGGACGUCGCUGAUGGCUUGCGCUGGAAGACGAGCUGUAUCACUGUGGGGAAGGACGCCCGUAUGCAAAUUGCAACAACGGGACCAAGGCUGGGAGCCAUGCAAAAUCCGGAACAACGUCGCCCUAAGGAGCAAGGCCAUGAGAGGAAAAUGCCAGACCGGAGCAGAGCCGCGUACAGCCAAGAUUGCGCUGCUACAACUAUGGAAAUACUGACGCCAGUUUAUGGACUGAUGUACACGUAUUGUCUGCAUUACUAGUAUUUGACUUUACAGACACAAAGACAUAUUGUCUAGUCUAUUAUGUGUAUCAAAGAAUAUACAAGUAAUGUAAUUGACUCAGACGACGACGGUCCAAAUCAAACCAUGUGCGGAUUUACGAAUGGUGGAAAUCCCAUACAGACACACGUACGGUCUCAUUGAUGAGUUUUUAACUGCAUUGGGAGUAAUGGCAUGCAAAAAUACGUGUUUCACAUGGGCGCGUACAAAAUGAACGCACUUGAAAUAUGUUUAUUCUAUUUAUUCUUUGUUGCGCUCAUUUACGUUUUAUCUUGUAAAAAACUUACGACAACAGCUAAACAUUCAGUCUUAUAUGACAAUUAGAACAUGCAUGAAGUUAGUACACACCGCAACGGGGACUGCACAACUCAGAACUGUGUGCCUCCGACCCAGACCGCAGCUACCGAACAUUGCCUGCUAAUUUCUUGAAGUAGAAAGAAACUUUCACCAAUCUAACGUUAGAGAUCAGUUGGGCUGGAUAAAAGGAAAAUUCUCAUCGCUAAAAAAAACACCUCCGUGCAGCCGCUUACUUUUUUGGGCCGUAAUUUGGAGUAAUACAUCAACGGGACCUUACAAAUAUUAUGUAUGCAAGCUGAUGUUGCAUUUCAGUCCGUCACUUGCAACAAGCUAGAUACAACGCAAUGGUUGCUGUAUGUACCGGCAUGUGUUAGUCUAUAUUGUGCCAUGAUUAUUAUUCUCAGACGGUUUCCGGUAAUUCGUUAAAUUUGAUAAUGUGAACUGCAACAGACCGAGAUAAAGUACUAGUAACAAUGUUGUGUGAUGUGAGCGGACAGCUGUGUAACUGUCUGUCAGGUAAGACAGAAUAUAAAGACGAGAGAUUUAUUUCUAAGGCAAUUCAGGAGAGCAACAGACCGAGUGACAUAACAUUAUGACGUCGCAGUUAGUAUACGUUCAAAGUCUCCCGUGCCCAGUGUACGGAAAUCCCUAUCUCUGUGUCAUUUCUUUAUCGUUAACGUGGUCGUCUUCAAAUCAGAAUCCAAAAGAAUUAGUUACAUGUCCAAGAAUACCAUUGUUUAUCAGAGGAAGAAAAUCGUUGUCAGAAACAUCGGUAAACAUUUAUUUUAAUUCUGAAUCAUUUACCAUAUCAAAUUCUACUUUGUUGAAUUCCAAAACCGCCCUGUCAAGGCAUAUCAUUACAUAUUGUAAGAAGCAAAACUUAAUAUACAAAAAUGAACAGCUA